This is a long non-coding RNA of Ostrea edulis (European flat oyster), 1233 nucleotides long. RefSeq lists it as uncharacterized. The transcript has 3 exons. The record is from RefSeq and is a predicted model, not a curated record. NCBI's taxonomy places the organism in Eukaryota, Metazoa, Mollusca, Bivalvia, Ostreida, Ostreidae.
CUUCCGCUUCCAUAUUUUGAAAUCGUCGAUCUGUGAACAUUGUGAGGAAAGGAAAGCAAAACAAUGGGAGAAACACGUGGAGAGUAUACAAUCUAUUUUGUGGACAACUUGUUAAAGGCUCCUAGAGUAUUCUUAUGGGGUAUGCGACGUGUAUAACACUGGAAGAAGCAGUCCUACCAAACUUGAAAAGCCACGAGGUCGAGUGGUAAUGGCGCGCCCGUGCCGAUGAACUUGCACGUUGUUUUCACAAUCGGUUUUCCCAACUGCCGACUAUUCCUUGUCAGAUAAUCCUAAAAAUCCGGGAGAUAUAGCAUAGCCUAUCUAACUUUGAAGUUUGAGGAAGCAGACUGACUUUGAAGACGACAAUGAUGUUGAUUGAAUAAUACCAGGAUGCAGCAUUGCAGAAAGUAAUGACAAUAUCUGACAUGUCUUAUGCCAAUCAAUUCCUCCAGAAGAUGACACAAACUUUAAAUUAUGGAAGUUGCGAGCAAGAAUUUUUCAAGGGAAUGUCAGAUGGAGAAGAAACAUCAGUCAACAAGACAGUGUAAAAUGAUAAAGUAUCUGUAAUAGGUGCUUACCAUAUUCUGCCUAUUGUGGAUUCAGUGAUGGUUUUUCAAACGAACUAUGCUCAUCAACCAAAUGUCCUUAAAAUCUGUGGAGUGCAGAGCCACUUUCAGGCGAGACAGUAGUGUGGUUCAUUUUAGUGGACAUGAUUUUAGACGAGAUGUGCUUUGUGAAACUUGAAACAUUGUUCAUUCAUCAUAGUGUAAUGAGAACUGUUGUGGUCCAUCAUUCUAUGCUUUAGUGAAGUAAUGGAGAUAAUGUGAAGUACAUGUGUAAAUGCUCAUAUUCUGCACAACAUAUUUUUCAGUGACAUUAUUUCUUUGAGACCAAGCUCUGGACAGUUGAUAGCCAUUUAUGUGUAGGACUUUAUUUAUUUUUCUGUGUGUGCAGUAGCAACUACCACUUGCAGUAAACCCAAACAAAGUGGAGAAAUAAUUUGUUGAGUUCAGAGAUUACAAUUUUUAUUGUGUUAUUUUGAUGAGAAGAUAGUAUUAAUAAGGUACAAUGGUACAUUGUAUCUUAUUGAAAAGCUUAUUUAAGAGUUAUCAGUAGAAUUAGACUGCAUGACAAUUAUUAGAAUGGGAAACCUAGAUGAAGUCAAAAGAAACUAUACUGUAUUUUACAGACUGUCCUGGAAAUAUCAUGCAAUAAAUAAUGUCUCCAGUGUUA